AGUCGAGGGGUAUAUUUCUUCGGAGAUAGAGACCGGCGCACGGGUGCGUAACGCGUAUGCAAUCUGCCUUUCACAGAGGGAUAGCCCAGAGAAAUUUGGAUUAAUACCUCAUAGUAUUAUGGAGUGGCAUCACUUUAUAAUUAAAGUCACAACGGUGAAAGAUGAGCAUGCGUCCCAUUAGCUAGUUGGUAAGGUAACGGCUUACCAAGGCAACGAUGGGUAGGGGUCCUGAGAGGGAGAUCCCCCACACUGGUACUGAGACACGGACCAGACUCCUACGGGAGGCAGCAGUGAGGAAUAUUGGACAAUGGGCGCAAGCCUGAUCCAGCCAUGCCGCGUGCAGGAUGACGGUCCUAUGGAUUGUAAACUGCUUUUGUACGAGAAGAAACAUCCCGACGUGUCGGGACUUGACGGUAUCGUAAGAAUAAGGAUCGGCUAACUCCGUGCCAGCAGCCGCGGUAAUACGGAGGAUCCAAGCGUUAUCCGGAAUCAUUGGGUUUAAAGGGUCCGUAGGCGGUUUAGUAAGUCAGUGGUGAAAGCCCAUCGCUCAACGGUGGAACGGCCAUUGAUACUGCUGAACUUGAAUUACUGGGAAGUAACUAGAAUAUGUAGUGUAGCGGUGAAAUGCUUAGAUAUUACAUGGAAUACCAAUUGCGAAGGCAGGUUACUACCAGUUGAUUGACGCUGAUGGACGAAAGCGUGGGGAGCGAACAGGAUUAGAUACCCUGGUAGUCCACGCCGUAAACGAUGGAUACUAGCUGUUGGGAGCAAUCUCAGUGGCUAAGCGAAAGUGAUAAGUAUCCCACCUGGGGAGUACG
This 818-nucleotide ribosomal RNA is filed under the name uncultured Bacteroidota bacterium. RNAcentral describes it as "bacterial SSU rRNA". It matches the Rfam family "Bacterial small subunit ribosomal RNA", at positions 60 to 884 of the family's 1533-position model. The record is from RNAcentral. Lineage: Bacteria; Pseudomonadati; Bacteroidota.